UGAAACCGAAACCGCCGUGUGGUGAAAGUA
Molecule: non-coding RNA, 30 nt
Filed under: Mus musculus (house mouse)
Lineage: Eukaryota; Metazoa; Chordata; Mammalia; Rodentia; Muridae
Source: RNAcentral